Polistes dominula (European paper wasp) is the source of this 389-nucleotide long non-coding RNA. NCBI's taxonomy places the organism in Eukaryota, Metazoa, Arthropoda, Insecta, Hymenoptera, Vespidae. The record is from RefSeq and is a predicted model, not a curated record.
UAUAGGUAGCCUAUAGUAGGGUGGUAGGGUAAUAUAGGGUAGAAUAGACUUCUAGAGACCUAUAAUCGACAGAUCCUAGAAUAGUGCGCUGCUAUUCCUUUACUCCUAUUCACGUCUCUUCCUUCCUUCGCUCCAAUGCUUCCUUCGUUAUCUUCUCUUGUCACGAUUACACGAGGAAGAGAGUACACAGCGCCACGUAACACGAAUUUGAAAACGAAAAGAGGCGAUAGGCAAUAUAUGUAGACGACAGCAUAUAUGGAAAUGGAUUAUGCUUUGUGACAAAAGCAAUCGACCAAAUUUCUACUUUUUAAUAACGCAGCAAAUAUCACAGGCUGCAUUUAAAAUCUCUAUGUAUUGUAGUAUAUAAUAUAAUUUACUUUGAUAUAUUA